GAUGAACGCUGGCGGCGUGCCUAAUACAUGCAAGUCGAGCGAACAGAUGAGGAGCUUGCUCCUCUGACGUUAGCGGCGGACGGGUGGGUAACACGUGGAUAACCUACCUAUAAGACUGGGAUAACUUCGGGAAACCGGAGCUAAUACCGGAUAAUAUAUUGAACCGCAUGGUUCAAUAGUGAAAGACGGUUUUGCUGUCACUUAUAGAUGGAUCCGCGCCGCAUUAGCUAGUUGGUAAGGUAACGGCUUACCAAGGCAACGAUGCGUAGCCGACCUGAGAGGGUGAUCGCCCCCACUGGAACUGAGACACGGUCCAGACUCCUACGGGAGGCAGCAGUAGGGAUUCUUCCGCAAUGGGCGAAAGCCUGACGGAACAAAGCCGCGUGAGUGAUGAAGGUCUUCUGAUCGUAAAACUCUGUUAUUAGGGAAGAACAAAUGUGUAAGUAACUAUGCACGUCUUGACGGUACCUAAUCAGAAAGCCACGGCUAACUACGUG
This 497-nucleotide ribosomal RNA is filed under the name uncultured bacterium. Its description in RNAcentral is "partial 16S ribosomal RNA". It matches the Rfam family "Bacterial small subunit ribosomal RNA", at positions 28 to 507 of the family's 1533-position model. The record is from RNAcentral.